CAGUAGACUUCUCUGAACACAGAAGAUUGGUCGGGAUAUCAUUACUAACAGACAUUGACUGAUCUGCGGUCUCUUGACACCUGGACAUUGAACAGCCAGCCACGUCAGACUGACUCCUUUUUGAGCUAAAUAAGCUCAUGUUUUGCUUCAGUCAAACACACCAUUGACUUCCUUUGUACCAUGUGGGGACUGAUGCCACAGUCAAGUUACUCUAACCUAAGCAAGCAUCCACAGCUCCUGGUCAACAGGGGGUGGAAGCAUCCAGCCAACGUUUUCAGUCUCAGAAGCUAAGCAGGAUUGGGCCCGGUUGGUCCUUGGGUGGGAAACCUCCACAGAAAAUCAGAGGUGUAUGCUAGAUACAUUUUAAAAAAUCCUAGAAGAAAGCAACAGCAACUACUUCCAUAUUGCUACAAAGAAAACUACAUGGACAUCCCAUGAAGUUGAGCCCAAGUUAGAGACUUUUCUCUUAAUUGAAUCACACAGCAGGCUGGAUUGCUUACUGAAUAAUCACUAUUCUGCUACUUUUUGAAAGUGCAAAUGGAAAAUUGAAAAAAACAAAACAGUUCUGUAAGGAGAGAAGAAAAGGAUAUUUAUCUUCCAAGAAAGAGCUUUCUGUUAGGUCCUCAUGGAGAUACUACUCAGCAGCCAGCAGAAAAGGCAAAGUUUUAUCUAACAAAGAGCUACACAGCUAUGCCCCAAACACUGUCUUUCAGGUACAAAUUUUGGGCCUUUUCUUUCAUUCUGGGGUAAAUUUGUCCAGCCAUCAAGUAUUCCUGAGAGAACCAUGAAUUCAUGUACGAUAAUGGUGACAAACAA
Python bivittatus (Burmese python) is the source of this 816-nucleotide long non-coding RNA. RefSeq lists it as uncharacterized. The record is from RefSeq and is a predicted model, not a curated record. NCBI's taxonomy places the organism in Eukaryota, Metazoa, Chordata, Lepidosauria, Squamata, Pythonidae.